CUGUCAACAGUACGUUUGAUGACUCAACCGUUUAACAGCACUGGACCAGAUAAUAAUCUGGAUGUUGUAAUAUCCUUGCUUGCUUUUAGGGUCUACCCCAAUGUCUGCUACCACAAAGAGGAAAUGAGAAUUCGUACUGCUGAGGGGCAUAAUGUGCUCAGCCACGCAUCACCCGUCAGCAGACAGGACAGGAAGUGUCGGUCACCUUUCUUCAUGCUUGGAGAAUCUUGGUUUGAUGCUUGGGAUUUGCACAGGUGUAGUUCAGAACUGUGGUGAGGCUUCAGCUCCGCUCCUCCCAGCUUAGCCAGAACUUCAGUUUGCUUCAGCCAUCUGUGUAAAGUGAGCACCUCUAAACAGACCGCAAGACUUUUGAACUCAAAAUACUAUGCUUUGUUAAAUCAAAGUACACAUGGAAUCUAAAAGCCAUUAAGAUGUUGGCUUAAGAGUGACUAGGAUCAAGCUGAGAGUGUCCCACAGCGUGGCUGCUUGCAUUGUGCUGUCCGUGCUGUGACGGAGGUGCUCACUGUGGAAGUGACUAAAGGCCUGGGGAUCAUUUGGCAGCUGGACCUACCAGAUGAGUGUGUGCUGAAUGUGAUCCAUCGAAUCUCCAGGCCACCAGCAGCGGGCGUCAACCUCAUGGCUGCCAGUGGAAGGAAGAACAAAUGGCUCUCAGUAAUAAAAGCUGUCAUCGCUGGUUCCAAAACACAGUGACUAUAAAAGAAAAGAUAAUCUAGAUUUAUUUUGGGCAAACCUCUUCAUCGCUGUCUCUGGAAAUAAAACAAAACGCUUGGCUGUGCUGGCACCCCUCUAUUGCCCCUUGUUUACACAUCUUGUGAGGCAAAGGAGAAUGAACACACCUGUGAGCUGCUGCUGGUUUAGCAAUGAAACGAAGGACUGCUUGCCUCUCCCUGGAGGCAUUCAAGGCCAGGCUGGGUGGGCUGUGAGCAACCUGGUGUGGUGGGAGGUGUCCCUGCCUAUAGCAGGGGAUGGGAACAAGACGAUCUUCAAGGUCUCUUCCAACCCAAACCAUUCUCUGAUUUUAUAAUUCUAAGUCUUUCCAUUUAGACAAAAGAACUUGUUUCUUCCCUGCAUUCCUUUCUUGCUGUUACCAGUCUGUUUGCCAUUUCAGUCCCCUUGCACAAACACAGCUCUGUAAAAUAUUGUGCUCUUGGGGGAUUUACUGCAAGUUGUGGGU
This 1195-nucleotide long non-coding RNA is filed under the name Gallus gallus (chicken). Its description in RNAcentral is "long non-coding RNA NONGGAT008851". The record is from RNAcentral. Lineage: Eukaryota; Metazoa; Chordata; Aves; Galliformes; Phasianidae.